UGUGGCCUCAUUUUUCGAAGUACAGACAUGAAAAACACAUCAUUGUGUUCAUGAAGGACGGAGGAUUCGUACGAUGUUCUUAUUUUCAUUCUGGGACUUAAGGAAAUCACGCUAUGUGAAGAAGUUCACAGGCUGAAAUUCACUGCAGUUCAGCACCUCUCAGUCAAACAGUAGGUUAGUGAUUUGCCUUUGAUCUCACAGCUGUUUAGGAUGCAGUCAUUAACGAGACACACACACACACACACGCACACACAUUCUUGUACUUGUUGCUUUUUGAGGUCCACCUUGCAGUUCAGCUGCUUGUACACACAGUUAAUAUGUGUCUGCUUCACCACCUAUCUCCACCCACAAACUUUGAGCUACAGAAACCAUUCUGGGCUUCAAAAUUCAGCUCAUUGAAGAUAUUAUGGGGUGUUUUGAGGAUUGUGAUAAUAAAUUGUAUUAAUGUGUUCAGCAGAGUCUUGUGUUCUCACAAGCUCCUUAUGAAUAUAUACAGAGGAUGAGCGUCAGGGCCUACUUGGAGUCCUGUUUCCUUAGCUUCAAGCCUUCUUUCUCCUGCUAUAGUUAUGCAUCCAAGGUCCCCAUGGCAACCAAUUUGUGCACCUGGAGACACACAGCUGACUGGAAAGCUGCUUCUAAUGGCCAUAUGAGACACAUGAAGCCAGGCUCAGUACACAUAGCACUGGGGAUGACACUUAAAACCCUUUACUAGAGCGCUUGAAAAAACUUCAGCCCCUAUCUCCUCACAUGACCUUUGACCUACAGAAACCAUUCAGGGCUUUGAAAUUUAAGCUCAUUGAGGACAUUAUGGGGUGUAUUUAGGAUUUAUAUUCAUUUACAUUUUUCACAUUUUAAAGUCACUCAGUGAUGAUUUAUCAUUUAAUUUUUCAAACUAAUUUAAAAUUCAAACCUUUCUAAUACUUUAAAACUUUCUGAUACUUGAGGAUUUUUAAUUAUUUAAAUUUUCCUGUUUUAAAUUAAUUUUAAUAUUUAUGCAUUAUCCAUCCUUCAAACAAAAUCCUACCUCAAGUAUUACAACUACUGCUAAUGUCAAUUAAACUAGACUUUCCCCUCUACUUCAACUGCUAUUGCUCCUAUUUCUACUUUCUCUACUGCUGCUAUCGCUACUAUUUCUACUUUCUCUACUACUUUGACUUAUACUUCUUUAUUCUCAAACUACUUCUACUGCUGACAGACUACUAGUAUCACAACUUGACUUCUUAUCAUACUACUUCUAGUACUACAACUUAAACUUAUGCCACUUCUCACCUUCCUGCCUUUUAAGGCAAUUUCCUUCUUCAUUCAAACUUUGUGCAAUUUUAGACAUUUUUUUAGCCUCUUUCAGCAUGAAUAGAAUUAUCUUUUAUAGAGCAUAGUCAUACUAUUUGUCCUUCAACCAAUUAAUCAAUUAUCCAACUUACAUUUCUUUCUCACCCCUUCAACAGCUUUAACAUUGAUACCUUUCUCCAUGAUUUAUUAGCAGUUUAGCAUUGCUUUUUCAGCUUUCAGCACUCAGCAUUUCCACGCAUUUUCUGCAAGGAAAUGCAAUUUUUCUAGUAUUAUACUUAACACUCUCCCCAUACGUUUCUUUGGACCGCUUCUCCUCCUUCCAAAUUUGUCCGAUUUCAACCGUUUAAACUUUAAACUAUUCCACUCCAUCAGGACAUGUGUGCUUGUAUUUUUUUCCUUUCUAUCCUUUGUACUUUUUAUUAUUUUUCACUUUUUGUGCCAAACUUUUUUUCCCAUAGAAAUGAAUGGGGAAAUCUUUCAAUUCUUCCUGUUAUUCGUCCACCUUCUAAGCCUUAUAACUUCAGCAUACUUUCACCUAGAGACCUCAUUUUUGCUUUAAAAUGUUCAUUGUCUUGUCGACUAUUGAUGUUGUAUUAACCUCUUUGUGCUAUCUUUUACAGUUUUUCCACAAUUUAGCUUUAUGCAACUUGUGGUUUUCAGCAAAUUUCAGGCUUUAUAAUAGGGGUGUAUUGGAGAGGCUAGAGUGAUGAUUUGAAAAGCUAGAGUGCAGACCUCGUCUCUGAUCGACAGAACCUCGCUCGAAUAUAUCGCUCCCACGCCCACAAAUCUCACUCCACAGCCAUAAAAAAUACAUCAAAAUGGAGGUAUAUGUGUCCUGCUUCUCACAAAAGAGGUUUCAAAUCAUUAAAUCCUACCCCUUGGCCAGCAGGUGACCAACUGUCCAAAUAGGCGGAAAUCUCUCCCCAUUGGCCCUAAUGUAUUUUUCUCCAAGAAAAUCCUUAUCGUACUCAGGCUCAGACUUUUUUAACUCGCUGUUGUGGCCACAUUUUUCGGAGUACAGACAUGAAAAAACACAUCAUUGUGUUCAUGAAGGACGGAGGAUUCGUACGAUGUUCUUAUUUUCAUUCUGGGACUUAAGGAAAUCACGCUAUGUGAAGAAGUUCACAGGCCCUUAGUUCACUGCAGUUCAGCACCUCUCAUUCAAACAGUAGGUCAGUGAUUUGCCUUUGAUCUCACAGCUGUUUAGGAUGCAGUCAUUAACGAGACACACACACACACACACACACACACACACACACAUUCUUGUACUUGUUGCUUUAUGAGGUCUACCUUGCAGUUCAGCUGCUUGUACACACAGUUAAUAUGUGUCUGCUUCACCACCUAUCUCCACCCACAAACUUUGAGCUACAGAAACCAUUCUGGGCUUCAAAAAUUCAGCUCAUUGAAGAUAUUAUGGGGUGUUUUGAGGAUUGUGAUAAUAAAUUGUAUUAAUGUGUUCAGCAGAGUCUUGUGUUCUCACAAGCUCCUUAUAUGAAUAUAUACAGAGGAUGAGCGUCAGGGCCUACUUGGAGUCCUGUUUCCUUAGCUUCAAGCCUUCUUUCUCCUGCUAAAGUUAUGCAUCCAAGGUCCCCAUGGCAACCAAUUUGUGCACCUGGAGACACACAGCUGACUGGAAAGCUGCUUCUAAUGGCCAUAUGAGACACAUGAAGCCAGGCUCAGUACACAUAGCACUGGGGAUGACACUUAAAACCCUUUCCUAGAGCGCUUGAAAAAACUUCAGCCCCUAUCUCCUCACAUGACCUUUGACCUACAGAAACCAUUCAGGGCUUUAAAAUUCAAGCUCAUUGAGGACAUUAUGGGGUGUAUUUAGGAUUUAUAUUCAUUUAAUUUUUUCACUUUUAUAACUCACUCAGUGAUGAUUUAUCAUUUAAUUUUUCAAACUAAUUUAAACUCAUUCAAACUGAUUCAAACCUUUCUAAUACUUAAAAACUUAAACUUAUUCCACUUCUCACCUUCCUGCCUUUUAAGGCAAUUUCCUUCUUCAUUCAAACUUUGUGCAAUUUUAGACAUUUUUCUAGCCUCUUUCAGCAUGAAUAAAAUUUCCUUUUAUAGAGCAUAUUCAUACUAUUUGUCCUUCAACCAAUUAAUCAAUUAUCCAACUUACAUUUCUUUCUCACCCCUUCAACAGCUUUAACAUCUAUACCUUUCUCCAUGUUUUAUUAGCAGUUUAGCAUUGCUUUUUCAGCUUUCAGCACUCAGCAUUUCCACGCAUUUUCUGCAAGGAAAUGCAAUUUUUCUAGUAUUAUACUUAACACUCUCCCCAUACGUUUCUUUGGACCGCUUCUCCUCCUUCAAACUAUGUCCGAUUUCAACCGUUCAAACUUUAAAAGAUUCCACUCCUUCAGGACAUGAUGGCUAUUACUUUUCUUUUUUCUACCCUUUAUACUUUUUAUUAUUUUUCACUUUUUGUGCCAAACUUUUUUUCCCAUAGAAAUGAAUGGGGAAAUCUUUCAAUUCUUCCUGUUAUUCCUCCACCUUCUAAGCCUUUUAACUUCAGCAUACUUUCACCUAGAGACCUCAUUUUUGCUUUAAAAUGUUCAUUGUCUUGUCGACUAUUGAUGUUGUAUUAACCUUUUUGUGCUAUCUUUUACAGUUUUUCCACAAUUUAGCUUUAUGCAACUUGUGGUUUUCAGCUAAUUUCAGGCUUUAUAAUAAGGGGUGUAUUGGAGAGGCUAGAGUGAUGAUUUGAAAAGCUAGAGUGCAGACCUCGUCUCUGAUCGACAGAACCUCGCUCGAAUAUAUCGCUCCCACGCCCACAAAUCUCACUCCACAGCCAUAAAAAAUACAUCAAAAUGGAGGUAUAUGUGUCCUGCUUCUCACAAAAGAGGUUUCAAAUCAUUAAAUCUUACCCCUUGGCCAGCAGGUGUACAACUGUCCAAAUAGGCGGAAAUCUCUUCCCAUUGGCUCUAAUGUAUUUUUUCUCCAAGAAAAUCCUUAUCGCCACUCAGGCUCAGACUUUUUUAAUUCGCUGUUGUGGCGACAUUUUUCGGAGUACAGACAUGAAAAACACAUCAUUGUGUUCAUGAAGGGCGGAGGAUUCGUACGAUGUUCUUAUUUUCAUUCUGGGACUUAAGGAAAUCGUGCUAUGUGAAGAAGUUCAGAACCCUAAAUUCACUGCAGUUCAGCAGCUUCUCCAUUCAAACAAUAGGUCAGUUCAUGCUUUGAUCUCACAGCUGUUUAGGAUGCAAUCAUUAACGAGACACACACACACACACACGCACACACAUUCUUGUACUUGUUGCUUUUUGA
RNAcentral lists this long non-coding RNA (4560 nucleotides) under Xyrichtys novacula (pearly razorfish). Lineage: Eukaryota; Metazoa; Chordata; Actinopteri; Labriformes; Labridae. The record is from RNAcentral.